Molecule: ribosomal RNA, 1500 nt
Filed under: Lactiplantibacillus plantarum
Lineage: Bacteria; Bacillati; Bacillota; Bacilli; Lactobacillales; Lactobacillaceae
Description: bacterial SSU rRNA
Rfam family: Bacterial small subunit ribosomal RNA
Source: RNAcentral
GCGGCGUGCUAUACAUGCAAGUCGAACGAACUCUGGUAUUGAUUGGUGCUUGCAUCAUGAUUUACAUUUGAGUGAGUGGCGAACUGGUGAGUAACACGUGGGAAACCUGCCCAGAAGCGGGGGAUAACACCUGGAAACAGAUGCUAAUACCGCAUAACAACUUGGACCGCAUGGUCCGAGUUUGAAAGAUGGCUUCGGCUAUCACUUUUGGAUGGUCCCGCGGCGUAUUAGCUAGAUGGUGGGGUAACGGCUCACCAUGGCAAUGAUACGUAGCCGACCUGAGAGGGUAAUCGGCCACAUUGGGACUGAGACACGGCCCAAACUCCUACGGGAGGCAGCAGUAGGGAAUCUUCCACAAUGGACGAAAGUCUGAUGGAGCAACGCCGCGUGAGUGAAGAAGGGUUUCGGCUCGUAAAACUCUGUUGUUAAAGAAGAACAUAUCUGAGAGUAACUGUUCAGGUAUUGACGGUAUUUAACCAGAAAGCCACGGCUAACUACGUGCCAGCAGCCGCGGUAAUACGUAGGUGGCAAGCGUUGUCCGGAUUUAUUGGGCGUAAAGCGAGCGCAGGCGGUUUUUUAAGUCUGAUGUGAAAGCCUUCGGCUCAACCGAAGAAGUGCAUCGGAAACUGGGAAACUUGAGUGCAGAAGAGGACAGUGGAACUCCAUGUGUAGCGGUGAAAUGCGUAGAUAUAUGGAAGAACACCAGUGGCGAAGGCGGCUGUCUGGUCUGUAACUGACGCUGAGGCUCGAAAGUAUGGGUAGCAAACAGGAUUAGAUACCCUGGUAGUCCAUACCGUAAACGAUGAAUGCUAAGUGUUGGAGGGUUUCCGCCCUUCAGUGCUGCAGCUAACGCAUUAAGCAUUCCGCCUGGGGAGUACGGCCGCAAGGCUGAAACUCAAAGGAAUUGACGGGGGCCCGCACAAGCGGUGGAGCAUGUGGUUUAAUUCGAAGCUACGCGAAGAACCUUACCAGGUCUUGACAUACUAUGCAAAUCUAAGAGAUUAGACGUUCCCUUCGGGGACAUGGAUACAGGUGGUGCAUGGUUGUCGUCAGCUCGUGUCGUGAGAUGUUGGGUUAAGUCCCGCAACGAGCGCAACCCUUAUUAUCAGUUGCCAGCAUUAAGUUGGGCACUCUGGUGAGACUGCCGGUGACAAACCGGAGGAAGGUGGGGAUGACGUCAAAUCAUCAUGCCCCUUAUGACCUGGGCUACACACGUGCUACAAUGGAUGGUACAACGAGUUGCGAACUCGCGAGAGUAAGCUAAUCUCUUAAAGCCAUUCUCAGUUCGGAUUGUAGGCUGCAACUCGCCUACAUGAAGUCGGAAUCGCUAGUAAUCGCGGAUCAGCAUGCCGCGGUGAAUACGUUCCCGGGCCUUGUACACACCGCCCGUCACACCAUGAGAGUUUGUAACACCCAAAGUCGGUGGGGUAACCUUUUAGGAACCAGCCGCCUAAGGUGGGACAGAUGAUUAGGGUGAAGUCGUAACAAGUUAACCCGUAA